AUGUUGAAUAACCUGUGGACUCUGUUGAGUAACAACCUGUGGACUCUGUUGAGUAACAACCUGUGGGCUCUGUUGAAUAACCUGUGGACUCUGUUGAGUAACAACCUGUGGACUCUGUUGAAUAACCUGUGGACUCUGUUGAGUAACAACCUGUGGGUUCUGUUGAGUAACAACCUGUGGGCUCUGUUGAGUACCAACCUAUGGACUCUGUUGAAUAACCUGUGGACUCUGUUGAGUAACAACCUGUGGACUCUGUUGAAAAACCUGUGGACUCUGUUGAGUAACAACCUGUGGGCUCUGUUGAGUAACAACCUGUGGGCUCUGUUGAGUAACAACCUGUGGACUCUGUUGAGUAACAACCUGUGGGCUCUGUUGAGUAACAACCUGUGGACUUUGUUGAGUAACAACCUAUGGACUCUGUUGAGUAACAACCUGUGGACUCUGUUGAGUAACAACCUGUGGGCUCUGUUGAGUAACAACCUGUGGACUCUGUUGAAUAACCUGUGGACUCUGUUGAAUAACAACCUGUGGACUCUGUUGAGUAACAACCUGUGGGCUCUGUUGAGUAACAACCUGUGGGCUCUGGUGAGUACCAACCUGUGGACUAUGUUGAAUAACCUGUGGACUCUGUUGAGUAACAACCUGUGGACUCUGUUGAAUAACCUGUGGACUCUGUUGAGUAACAACCUGUGGGUUCUGUUGAGUAACAACCUGUGGGCUCUGUUGAGUACCAACCUAUGGACUCUGUUGAAUAACCUGUGGACUCUGUUGAGUAACAACCUGUGGACUCUGUUGAGUAACAACCUGUGGGCUCUGUUGAGUAACAACCUGUGGACUCUGUUGAGUAACCUGUGGACUCUGUUGAGUAACAACCUAUGGACUCUGUUGAGUAACAACCUGUGGACUCUGUUGAGUAACAACCUGUGGGCUCUGUUGAGUAACAACCUGUGGACUCUGUUGAGUAACAACCUGUGGACUCUGUUGAGUAACAACCUGUGGGCUCUGUUGAGUAACAUGUUGGAUUGGACAGUUACACAUGCACACAAUAGAGUUACACAAAAACAGACACAUAUGCACACACACACGCACGCACACGCACACACACACACACACACACACGCACGCACACACACAUACACACACACUACAUACACACAUGCAGAUGCACACACACACGGAUAUGAGAGAACUGGAUAUUCUGCUUUUUUGAUUAAUGCCUGUUUUUGA
RNAcentral lists this long non-coding RNA (1227 nucleotides) under Oncorhynchus mykiss (rainbow trout). Its description in RNAcentral is "lncRNA (ENSOMYG00000056855.1)". Lineage: Eukaryota; Metazoa; Chordata; Actinopteri; Salmoniformes; Salmonidae. The record is from RNAcentral.